Molecule: transfer RNA, 62 nt
Organism: Pelodiscus sinensis (Chinese soft-shelled turtle)
Lineage: Eukaryota; Metazoa; Chordata; Testudines; Trionychidae
Rfam family: tRNA
About the family: Transfer RNA (tRNA) molecules are approximately 80 nucleotides in length.
Source: Rfam
GGAUGGAGAGCUCAGUGGUUUGAGCAUUGGUCUGCUAAACCAAGGGUUGUGAGUUCAAUCCU